CAGUGGCGACAUCUGCAACUACAUGACUGUGUAAGGCCUGUUCGUUAUAUGAAAUUCAAAUAGAACGUGUAGAAUGGUAAUUUGAAUGCUGUACAUUAAAAGUUCUAUUUAAGUGUAUUGUGAACGUUUAUUGAGAAGCAUAAGAUAUCAUGCGGCAAAACUCAUUAGGACGUAAGUUGUCCUUAAAUCCAGUGAGAGUUUCUUCUUUUGACAAAGAAGAUAGAGAUCCUACACGAAAUGAUGCUAGAAAGCCAUCACUGGCAAAAUCUAGAGCUUCUUCAACUUCUGGAGACUCUUCACACAUUCCUAGACCACGAAUAAGAUCCAUUGGUCCAUCCAUUGAUGGACCUUCAAGAAAAUCUAAUUUAAAAUUGCCAGGUAAAGUUUCUAUAAGCCAUUAUGGAUCUGCAACUCCAAAAACUCCUUUAGCUACUUCUAAUCGAACAACAUUGGCUUUGCCAUUGGGCAGUACAGUACGGGGACGCUCUCCAUCAGCUGAAAGGGCCAGCGCACUAGGGGUAAAAGGAAGCAGGAAAGAUACAAGACCUUUAUCAGACAAAGGCUAUCAAAUGGAAAUGCUACGCAGAAUUGAUGAAUACAUGCGGAAUAUUGAACAGUCUUGUCUACUUAAUCCUAGUGGAAGUCUAAAGCCUAUUAGUUUAAAGAUGUUUGUUGAUGUUGCAGCAAUCCUGUUCAAACUUUUAGAUGUGAAACCUAUCCUCACUAUGAGUAAUUACAUAGUGGAAUUGCCGAACAUAAGCAAGAAGGUUCAUUAUCCUGGCAUAGUUAACAAAUCCUGGUUAAAAACAGCUAAUACUAUGCACUCGUGGCCUCAUGUUCUUGGUUUACUUUCCUGGCUAGUUGAGUUAUGCGAUGUGAUGGACAUAGCCACCUACAGUUUCCAAGUGAAGAACUUACCAUACCAUGGAGCAACAGCAACGGAUUCCUUAUUUAAUAGAAGUACCUUUGAAUCUAUGUUGAAUUGUUACACAGCUUGGAACGAAGACAAACUGGAUGAAGAAGAAAAACUACUCAAAGAGCAUUUCCAAGAAUUAGCCAACCAGAUAGGUGUCGACAACGAAAAUAUUCUGGCAGCACAAAAUGAACUUAAAGUUGAACAAAAAAAAUUAACAGAAGCCCAAAACAAUAACAGAAGUGCUAAUAAAUGUACUGAAGAGUUAGAAGAUACUUUAGCAUCUUUGCAGGCUGAUGAACUAAAAGUAUUAGAGGACAUCAGAGCUAAGGAAGAAUACAUAAACGAAAGCAAAAGAGAUUUUCAACAAAUGAAGUCAGAAAUUGUAAUUUUACAAAAUGACAUUCAGAAACACGAAGCUCGUAAACGCGAAUUAGAAAAAUUAAUAGCAGACCAGCCAAUGUCUGCCGCGGAACGCGAUGAUAUUGUCGAGAGGUGUAGUGUAAGUCAAAAUUAUUUGCACCAGGUCGACGACCUAUUAAUGGACUUGGAAAAGACUAUUUACUCACUGGACAUCAAACUAGCAUCCACAAGAAACAACCUGAACAAAGUUAUCCUGGCUUAUAAUAAGGACAUUGUUCUAAAUUUCAAUGCCAGCAUUGACAUCAAUAUAAAUGAUUUAAUGAUGCCUGAGAAGGAAAUAUCGAGUUCAUUAAUUUUUGAGGUUCUCAAUGAAAAAAAAAGUUUUGCCGAUCGUUUCAAGGAGCAAUUGCACCAAAAAUUACUCCUAACAGAAAAUUCAAUAGAGCAGCAGAGCGAGCAUUACGAGGCUCUGCAGGAAAAACUGAAAAAUUUAGAAACGGAGCAUCAGGAUGUAGUUGAGAAUCUAAAGGAAAAAAAACUCCAGAUUAAAAAUAUCAAAAAACAGUACAAGGAAGAGGAAGCAUUUUUAAGAAAACAGAUAAAGGACCUACAGGAUAAUAUUAAGUUACUGCAAGAACCUUUUGCAGACCUUGAAAGUUAUACAAAGGAUCUAGAGGAAUCCAGAGAGAAACUGGAUGCUUUGGAAAGACGUAAAGCUUUUCUUGAGAGACAGGCCAGCCGAUUUUUCACAGAAUUCUUUCAAAUAAUCGCAGAACACAGAAACGAAGUAGCUCUCAUUUUGAAAAGACUGCAGCAGGGAUGUUAAAGAUUAUUCAUUUUUAAAAAAUCAUGAAAGAUAUAAGUACCAAGUAGUAUCUGUGCCUAUUAUUGUAAAAUAGACUAUGUGAAAUUGCGAACGAAAGAGGAGUAAACAAUGGCUGAGUAAGAAAGUA
Cephus cinctus (wheat stem sawfly) is the source of this 2229-nucleotide RNA transcript. It is a transcript of the gene named kinetochore protein NDC80 homolog, with no coding region annotated. The transcript is spliced from 3 exons. Lineage: Eukaryota; Metazoa; Arthropoda; Insecta; Hymenoptera; Cephidae. The record is from RefSeq and is a predicted model, not a curated record.